AUUUAAAUAGUUUAAUAAAAAUAUAAUAUUGAAGAUAUUAUGAUAAUUAUUUAUAAUUUUUAAAUA
RNAcentral lists this transfer RNA (66 nucleotides) under Necremnus tutae. RNAcentral's name for it is "tRNA-Phe". The record is from RNAcentral. Lineage: Eukaryota; Metazoa; Arthropoda; Insecta; Hymenoptera; Eulophidae.